AACCGGUAGGAAUCUACCCAGUAGCGGGGGAUAGCCCGGGGAAACUCGGAUUAAUACCGCAUACGCCCUACGGGGAAAGGCCGGGGUCUUCGGACCGGUCACUACUGGAGGAGCCUGCGUUGGAUUAGCUAGUUGGUGGGGUAAAGGCCCACCAAGGCGACGAUCCAUAGCUGGUCUGAGAGGAUGAUCAGCCACACUGGAACUGAGACACGGUCCAGACUCCUACGGGAGGCAGCAGUAGGGAAUAUUGCACAAUGGGCGAAAGUGAUGCAGCCAUGCCGCGUGUGUGAAGAAGGCCCUAGGGUUGUAAAGCACUUUCAGUGGGGAGGAAUUAGCCUGGCUAAUAACCAGGUGAAAUGACGUUACCCACAGAAGAAGAUCCGGCUAACUCCGUGCCAGCAGCCGCGGUAAUACGGAGGGAUCGAACGUUAAUCGGAAUUACUGGGCGUAAAGCGCGCGUAGGGGUUCAUCAAGUGGGAUGUGAAAGCCCCGGGCUCAACCUGGGAACUGCAUUCCAAACUGGCGGACUAGAGUACGAGAGAGGGGGGUAGAAUUCAGAGUGUAGCGGUGAAAUGCGUAGAUAUUCUGAGGAAUACCGGUGGCGAAGGGGCCCCCUGGCUUGAUACUGACGCUGAGGUGCGAAAGGUAGGGAGCAAACAGGAUUAGAUACCCUGGUAGUCUACGCCGUAAACGAUGUCUACUAGCCGUUGGGAGGCUUGACCUCUUAGUGGCGAAGUAACGCGAUAAGUAGACCGCCUGGGGAGUACGGUCGCAAGAUUAAAACUCAAAUGAAUUGACGGGGGCCGCACAAGCGUGGAGCAUGUGGUUUAAUUCGAUGCAACGCGAAAAACCUUACCAGGCCUUGACAUCCAGAGAACUUACCAGAGAUGGUUUGGUGCCUUCGGGAACUCUGUGACAGGUGUU
This 924-nucleotide ribosomal RNA is filed under the name uncultured bacterium. RNAcentral's name for it is "bacterial SSU rRNA". It matches the Rfam family "Bacterial small subunit ribosomal RNA", at positions 112 to 1042 of the family's 1533-position model. The record is from RNAcentral.